GACGAACGCUGGCGGCGUGCUUAACACAUGCAAGUCGAACGGAAAGGCCCUGCUUUUGUGGGGUGCUCGAGUGGCGAACGGGUGAGUAACACGUGAGUAACCUGCCCUUGACUUUGGGAUAACUUCAGGAAACUGGGGCUAAUACUGGAUAGGAGCUCCUGCUGCAUGGUGGGGGUUGGAAAGUUUCGGCGGUUGGGGAUGGUCUCGCGGCUUAUCAGCUUGUUGGUGGGGUAGUGGAUUACCAAGGCUUUGACGGGUAGCCGGCCUGAGAGGGUGAACGGCCACAUUGGGCCUGAGAGACGGCCCAGACGGCUACGGGACGCAGUAGUGGGGAAUAUUGCACAACGGGCGGAAGCCAGAUGCAGCAACGCCGCGUUCGGGAUGACGGCCUUCGGGUUGUAAACCGCUUUCGCCGGUGACGAAGCGUGAGUGACGGUAAUGGGUAAAGAAGCACCGGCUAACUACGUG
This 468-nucleotide ribosomal RNA is filed under the name uncultured bacterium. RNAcentral's name for it is "partial 16S ribosomal RNA". It matches the Rfam family "Bacterial small subunit ribosomal RNA", at positions 28 to 507 of the family's 1533-position model. The record is from RNAcentral.